GAUCCUGGCUCAGGAUGAACGCUGGCGGCGUGCCUAAUACAUGCAAGUCGAGCGGCAGCGCGAGUAGUUUACUACUUGGCGGCGAGCGGCGGACGGCUGAGUAACGCGUAGGAACGUACCCCCAAAGUGAGGGAUAAGCACCAGAAAUGGUGUCUAAUACCGCAUGUGAUCUAAGGAUUAAAGCUUCGGCGCUUUGGGAACGGCCUGCGUUAGAUUAGCUUGUUGGUGAGGUAAAAGCUCACCAAGGCGACGAUCUAUAGCUGGUCUGAGAGGAUGAUCAGCCAGACUGGGACUGAGACACGGCCCCAGACUCCUACGGGAGGCAGCAGUGGGGAAUAUUGCACAAUGGGCGAAAGCCUGAUGCAGCGACGCCGCGUGAGCGAAGAAGUAUUUCGGUAUGUAAAGCUCUAUCAGCAGGGAAGAAAAUGACGGUACCUGACUAAGAAGCACCGGCUAAAUACGUG
This 464-nucleotide ribosomal RNA is filed under the name uncultured bacterium. Its description in RNAcentral is "bacterial SSU rRNA". It matches the Rfam family "Bacterial small subunit ribosomal RNA", at positions 15 to 507 of the family's 1533-position model. The record is from RNAcentral.